RNAcentral lists this long non-coding RNA (2843 nucleotides) under Mytilus galloprovincialis (Mediterranean mussel). The record is from RNAcentral. Lineage: Eukaryota; Metazoa; Mollusca; Bivalvia; Mytilida; Mytilidae.
AAACCAAUUUUAAUAGAACCAGAUCAUGAACUAUGAACAUGGAUGUUUUGUUCAGAAACAGUUUGAGUAACUAUGGAUCAAUUCAGUUUUUUUUUGGCUACUUUUUUCUGUGGAUUGUGGAAAGAUUGUUUUUUCAUAGAUAUUUGAUUUUUUGUUUUGGCAUUUAAUGCUUUAGAAACUUAAUACUUCAUCGAGUUUUUAAAUUUGUGGUUGACAGCUUUACCCACAUAAUCCACAAAACUUGUUAUCCCUCAAAUAAGAAUAAAUCACAUAGUUUCUUUAAUUUUUUGGCCUUUUGAAUACUGUAUAAAAAGUGGCUUAUUUUUCUAACCCAUAUAUUUUUGCUUAUUUUGCAAUUGAAAUGAAAUCCCUAAAAUAUUGCUUUAACUUUAGAAUAAGUAACAAGAACAAGAUAAAAAAAUUUGCAAAAUAGUUUUGCCACAAAAUUUGCCAAAUAAGAUACUGUGUAUGGAUUAUUAGCCGUGGGAUACCAAUAUUUGUGGAUUUCCUGUGUGCAAACCAGCAAAACAUUAAAAUGAUGAAGUACUAAUCUUCUAUAAGAUUGUAUGCACUUUUUAAAAACCAAGAAAUCACAUUUACAUAAAAAUACAAAUUUUUCCUUAAUCCAGGAAAAAAUUGGUACCCAUGAAAUUUAAAUGAAUCCCCAGUAUGGGAAAUUAAACCACUUUCAAGUAUUCUUCUGCUGUUGUCUGUUCUAUGGUCGGGUUGUUGUCUCUUUGACACAUUCCCCAUUUCCAUUCUCAAUUUUAUUCAUAAUGAUAUUAAUCAUCUGAGACCAAAAAAACUACCAUGGCAUAAAUAUAUAUAAUUAAUGUUUAUGUGUUUAUAUGGAAAUGUUACAUUUAUGUUGUUAUUUAUUAUAUUGUCUUUUUUUAAUAACUUUAAAAAGAUGGCAUUUACUUGAAAAGAAUCUAUGACAAAUCACCCCACUGGCAUAUCACCCCACUUAAUGAAAAAUUGGCCAUCUUUUGUUUACCAACUCGCCCCUCUUAGGAAAAAGGGUAAAAUCCCAUUGAAAAUACAUGCAGGUUGGAUAAAGUAUGAAGGGCUAAUAUUCCUCUGAAAUAAGGUUUGCCCCACUUGUGAAAAAUAGAUAAAUCCUGAUGAAUUUAGUAAUGCCAACUCUCCCCAGUUAAUGCAAAAGAUGCAAUCCCGUUGUAUAUCUAUGUUCCUGUCCCACUUACAAAUAAGAUCAAUAUCUAAGAAAACCUUAGAUAAACAGGUUUUUCCCGUUUGAAUGGUUUUAAGCUAGUCAUUUUUGGGGCCCUUUAUAGCUUACUUGGUGUGAGCCAAGGCUCCGUGUUGAAGAAUGUACUUUGAACUAUAAAGGUUUUUCUUUUACAAAUUGUGACUUCAAUGGAGAGUUGUCUCAUUGGCACUCACACUCUUCUUAUAUCUAUUUUGUAGUUCUGUUUUUUUGUUGAAAUAAAGCAUAAAGAAGUGAUUAACAGUAUUUUUGUGACCUGAAUGCCAACUAGCCCCACUUGUGAAAAAUAGAAUAAUCCUGAUGAAUGGAGUCUUGCCAACUCACCCCACUUAUGAAAAAUAGAAAAAUUCUUAUGAAUUAAGUCAUGCCACCUCAUAGUCAAUAAAUGUAAUUUAAUAAAUUUUCAUUUUUUAAGUGGGGCGAGUUGGCAAACCUGGAAAUUAUAUAUUCAUAUACCUUUUUUUUUAUUAAGUGGGGUGAGUUGACAGGUGAAAAAUAAACAGGAUUUAACCCUUACCACAAGUGGGGCGAUUUUUACGAGUUGGUAAACCAGUUUGGGGCUAGUUGGUGAAAAGUGAGACGAUUUGCCAGUGGGGUGAUUUGUCCUGCUUCCACUUGAAAAUCAAUCACACUUCUAAAUGUAGAAGACAAAUAAAAUAUGAAAUAAUAAACAUAAAGUUUAUUUGACAAUAUUUUUUAGAAAAUUAUUUUUCAUCUUUUGUAAAAGCUGAAAAAUUUAACACUAUAAAACGAAAUUUAUUUUGAAAUAUUUAUCAUUUUUUUCCCUUCAGAAAUUCCAGAUUAAGUUUGUGUCAGGAGUAAAAAAUGUAUGUAAAUUGCUCUUUAAGUGAUGUCAAAAUAUAUCUCCCUUUUCACAGACUCUGACUAACUGACAGUAUAUUUCUCAUCACCAGCCACAACAUUCUCAGGUUUAACGAUCAGUAUCUAGGCAAAUAUAGGUUUAUAGUAUAUUUAUUAAAAAUUAUAUAUGAAUGAAAACAUUAUGUCACGUUAUAUUGCCAGAUUUGUUAAAAUACUCUCCAAUUAAGUGUACUUUUGUAAUUUAUCAAUGGACUUUAAAUGUCAACUUCAUGAUUUGCAAAAGCAUUUAUUGCAUUUAUUGAUAAAAUAUUUCAUUGACUGAUAUAUAAACUAUGUUUUGAAUGAAAGUUUAAGUACUCCUUCAAAAGUAUAUGCCGUUUUCGUGCUAAGGAGGAAUAUAAGAGAUAUCUGAAUUAUUAAAGUGUUCAUUGCUGUUAUAGAAAGCAACUACCGGGUACUUAACCAUAUUUCAAUAGACAGUAAUUAUUUUAAAGGUCAAGGAACAGUAUAUGGGCUUUAUGAUAAUUAAAAAAGGCAAAUACCAGUAAUAGUUCAAACUAGUACAAUAGUGUUAAUUUUAGCUGUUUCAUGAAUGAUUUUUGUUUGUAAAAUUUGUUUUGAAGUGCUGAGCAUGAUAUUUUUUAUAUUGUUGAGUAUUGUGUAUUUUGAUGUGAACUGCUCAUUGUGUAUAAGCUGUAUUUUGAAUAAGAUGAAUGUAUUUCGUGACAAUUCUUAAUAAAUAUGAAAUCCAUUUUAUACUUACUCACAUCUCAUGAUUUAUUUUCCAUACAAA